RNAcentral lists this long non-coding RNA (2606 nucleotides) under Pan troglodytes (chimpanzee). RNAcentral describes it as "lincRNA". Lineage: Eukaryota; Metazoa; Chordata; Mammalia; Primates; Hominidae. The record is from RNAcentral.
UCCUCCAAAUGUUGGCUGAAAUUCAUCCCAAGGCUGGUCUGCAAAGUUUACAAUUCAUAAUGGAGCUACUGUACUGGCUAUUGGAAGGAGGAGAUUCUGAAGAUAAGGAGCAACUUCGUCUUUUCUCAUUGGACCUUGAGAACAAUGCAGAGAUUGCACUGUCCCCCAUGUCAGAGCCAGGAGAUCAGGGGUGCAGACGUGUGAAGUGACCCAUCCUAGAUCCCACCGCUGUUCGCAUUCUCAAGUUUGAGCUCAGAUCCUCUGCUUCCAAGCGUGAUUAAUUUCACUUUCUGUGUCUUACUCCAUGAGCCCUAAUGCUUCUGCUGAGAUUCCUAAUUCAGUGAAACCUGUUUAGGGGAUCAUCUCUGUUAGGCAGACAGCUGCUGAAAAGGCAUUGACUUUCCAAGCAUGGAUUUUAGAUUAUGGCCAAUCAAGACUCCGGCCUGGAAGAACACCUGUCAGAGACGUUUUUCUACAAGGAGAUGGUCUCUUUAAUCAGAUUUCAUUGUACUUCAGAAAAAGGUUCGUUUUAAAAUCAUCACAGAAUCACUGGUUGGACUCAUGCCAUCUCAGAGGAAGAAAGAUCCUAGAGGCCAUCCCUCUGGUUUCACUCCUGUUGGCAUUGGAGAGAAAACCUAAGGCUAGCAUUCCCAGUAACCAAUCAUUUGCAGAGGAGCAAAGUUUGUCAUCUUGAUACACUAGAUCUUUGAUGAUAUCAAUAAGGAAACAUCCACACCCUUUGGUUAAAAGACUCUGAGACUUCAAGGACUGCUGGCUGUCCAGAAGAGGCUGUGGUGGUUCAAGUGAGGCUCAAGGCUGUAGUUAUACCAAUCUGUUACUCCAUGAAGAGUCCAAGGCUGCUGAACAGAGUGAACCUCAGAACAGAUAGCAGUGGCACCUAGAAGAUAUAAUCUCAACAGCAGAUGAGUUAUUGAGGGAUGAUUGCUGAUUAUGGAUUCCUCUUCAUCUCUCUUAACUUAUAUUCCAAGCUGUUAACCUAGAAUAAAUCCUACUAUAUCUAAUUAAUGCAUUAAUCAAACUUUGUUUUGAAUGGAAGGGGGGAGAAUAUGUUGAUUACCCCGGCUAGUGGGAUACAAAAUAUGCCUAAAGCAGAAUAUCUUUCUCCAUCAUGAAUAACAUUAAUCUCUGCAGUUCUCACAAGUGAAUAAUUAUUAUAUAGUUUGUUUCCUAUUUGUCUGGCUUGGUAUUUAUCCUUUAUGAGUUUCCAGGUGACAAUUUGUUUCAGGAAGAAUUCUCUCCGGAAACAAUUUUUUAAGAUUAUCAUCAAAUUCCUUAAUAAAGAGUUGAAAGCCAAACUCACUAGGUGAAAUGCAACAACAACCAAUGGGCAACAGACUGAUCUCCAACUUUCUGAAUUCUUUUUUUUUUUUUUUUUUUUGAGACAGGGUCUCUCUCUCUGUCGAUCAGGCUGGAGUGCAGUGGCUCAAUCUUGGCUCACUGCAGCCUCCACCUCCCAGGCCCAAGCAAUCCCGAGUAGUAGGGACUCAGGCACGCACCACGACACCUGGCUAAUUUUUUGUAUUUUUGGUAGAGAGAGGGUUUCACCAUGUUGCCUAGGCUGGUCUUGAGCUCCUGAGCUCAAAGUAUUUGCUUGCCUCAGCCUCCCAAAGUGCUGGGGUUACAGGCGUGAGCCACCGUGCCAGGCCUUUAAUUCUUAAUUGCUGCCAGGAUUGAUUGGUAAGGCUGUAGAAGAGUUGCUGUCCAUUCCAAGUCUUGCCAUCUGAAGCAACCACCAUGCCACAGCCUUAUUCUGUCCCAUGGCUGUUUUGUGCAUCUCCAAGUGUACCAGUAUGAGGCCCUCAAACACACCCAUGCCCUCUGAUGAAAUAAUGUUGGUCAUGAUAACCACAGGGAUGUCACAGCCGCUGUUCCACACUCUAACUAAUUCUUAUUUUGUUCUAACAACAACAAUUUGAAAUGGGAAGAACCACCCCAUUUUAGACAUUUCAAAACGAGUGCUUGGAUAGAUUAUGUACCUUGUCCAAGGUCACACAACCAAAUGGCAAGGUACGGACUCAACCUAGUUCCAUCUGCCUCCAGUCCAAAACCCAGAGCUCUCAACUGCCACCCUCAUUGUCUCUACUAGAUACUGGCUUCUCUGCGGUAACUGUUGAGGCUGGAAAACACAGGCCUGAGAGAACUUUUAAAUAUGAAAUGAUAACUCUUUGCCUACUGAGAUUCUUAUUUUUAAAAACCCAGAGGAAGAUCAUAUUUAUAUAUUUAUUCAACAUUCAUGUAUGAUAUUUAGAUUUACAAAAUGCUUUAUAGUGUAACAGAAUGGGCAGAAAUUUUUACUCGGGCUUAUAAUUGUCUUUUCUUUCAUAUUCAUUUAUUCCUUUGAUUUAUAUAAUGUGUUCUCUGCUUGGUCUUCUGAGAUUACGUACAAUGGUAACAAAUCGAAAAUAAUAUUAAUAAAAGAUUAUUUUGUAUCACUCACAGGGAAAACUGACUGGGGCCAUGCGCCUCUCUGUUCUUUAGAAACGUUAUGCGAGAGAACAUAAUAUCGUCCCCAGAAUACUGUCUGCAAUGCCGGCUAUGCUUAUUCGUGGUGCUUUAAAAAUAAAUUUAACUCCUGCUCUUCAUUU